This 464-nucleotide ribosomal RNA is filed under the name Vreelandella stevensii. RNAcentral's name for it is "partial 16S ribosomal RNA". It matches the Rfam family "Bacterial small subunit ribosomal RNA", at positions 338 to 795 of the family's 1533-position model. Lineage: Bacteria; Pseudomonadati; Pseudomonadota; Gammaproteobacteria; Oceanospirillales; Halomonadaceae. The record is from RNAcentral.
CCUACGGGGUGCUGCAGUGGGGAAUAUUGGACAAUGGGCGAAAGCCUGAUCCAGCCAUGCCGCGUGUGUGAAGAAGGCCUUCGGGUUGUAAAGCACUUUCAGUGGGGAAGAAAGCCUUGGGGCUAAUACCCUCGAGGAAGGACAUCACCCACAGAAGAAGCACCGGCUAACUCCGUGCCAGCAGCCGCGGUAAUACGGAGGGUGCGAGCGUUAAUCGGAAUUACUGGGCGUAAAGCGCGCGUAGGCGGUCUGAUAAGCCGGUUGUGAAAGCCCCGGGCUCAACCUGGGAACGGCAUCCGGAACUGUCAGGCUAGAGUGCAGGAGAGGAAGGUAGAAUUCCCGGUGUAGCGGUGAAAUGCGUAGAGAUCGGGAGGAAUACCAGUGGCGAAGGCGGCCUUCUGGACUGACACUGACGCUGAGGUGCGAAAGCGUGGGUAGCAAACAGGAUUAGAACCCCAGUAGUC